GCCAUCAUGAUACAGUGGUUUGAGUGUUGGACUGUAGCUCAGAAGACUGGGGUUCAAAUCCCUGCUCAGCCA
This is a non-coding RNA of Phrynosoma platyrhinos (Desert horned lizard), 72 nucleotides long. The record is from the annotation of a GenBank genome assembly. NCBI's taxonomy places the organism in Eukaryota, Metazoa, Chordata, Lepidosauria, Squamata, Phrynosomatidae.